AGUGCUUCUCAGCCUUUUGGCUAUCAAGUGUAAUAUCUGUUCUUAUCAGUUUAAUAUCUGAUACAUCCUUUAUCUGAGGACAUUAUAUUAAGUGGAGUUUUGCAGCAGAGAGAUGGAAUGGGAGGGAGCUUGUUCUGUCCACUCCACACAUUGACCCAGUAUUGCAGUAUCUUUGGGAACAGUGCAGGAAAA
Molecule: small nuclear RNA, 192 nt
Organism: Molossus molossus (Pallas's mastiff bat)
Lineage: Eukaryota; Metazoa; Chordata; Mammalia; Chiroptera; Molossidae
Product: U2 spliceosomal RNA
Exons: 1
Source: RefSeq, a predicted model, not a curated record